CCCCCGCAACGACGUAAAACAAGUGCGUGGUCUGCACCUCAGCGGUGCAGGCAACACCGUUCAAGUGCUGAGAGCCCCGAGACACUCGGGGCAACCAGCAGCCAGCACGCUCGCGGCUGGUGCACAGAUCAUUCGACGGUGACCUUAUGGUUGAGAUAUGACCGGUCCCAGGCCUUUGAAGGCCCCGGAAGCAGCGGAACCUGCGGAAGGAUCAUUACCGAGAGACGGGGUCUAACCGGCCCCACCUCUUCACCCGUGUCUAUCUACCUAUGUUGCUUUGGCGGGUCCGGGCACGUUCCGGGGAGCUCAUCGUUCCUUUGUGCCCGCCAAAAGCCCCAAUCAAUCCUGUUAUCAGUGUCGUCCGAGUAAACAUACAAUAGUUAAAACUUUCAACAACGGAUCUCUUGGUUCU
Molecule: unclassified non-coding RNA, 412 nt
Filed under: rhizosphere metagenome
Description: partial ribosomal RNA internal transcribed spacer region
Source: RNAcentral